AUCAGCGAUGGCGUCUGAAGUAGUUUCCAUCCCAAAGCUCGAUUUCUCCCAGCUGGAGUCUGGAACCACAGCAGUCUGUCUGCAGGGCCAGAUGAUGCAUGCCCUCCAGUUGUACGGCUGCUUCGAGGCUGAGUACGACAAGGUCACCCCGGAGCUCCGGGAUGCGUUUUUCGGCCGUGCCUUACCGGAACUCUUUGCCCUUCCCCUUGAGACGAAGCUGCUCAACAAAUCUGAUCUUCUCUUAGAUGGAUACAUCGGACAGAUACCAGGUUGGGCUUUUGAGAGUUUGCGAAUCGAGGAAGAUGUGGACAAGUUUACUCGGAUGCUUUGGCCCCAAGGAAAUCCCACCUUCUCUGAUACGGUCUCCGCCUACAACAAGCAUAUGAAAGUCUUGGAACAAUUUAUAGUGCGGACCAUAUUUCAUAAUUUGGAUAUAAAGAAGUACUAUGAUGAAUAUAUUCGAUCAACAAAAUAUGCAAAUCAAGUGAUAGAAUAUGGGAUCCCUUUGGACCAGGGGAGUCAGAAUGGAAUGGAUGCACAUAUUGAUCAAAACCUUGUCUCAAUACUCUGCCGGAAUCAAGCACAAGGGCUCGAAAUACAGACGAAAGAUGGGGUAUGGAUCCCAGUUGUGCCUUCCCCAAACUCCUUUACAGUCAUUAUUGGUGCAGCCAUUCAGGCCUGGACCAAUGGAAGACUACAUGCCCCCCUACAUCGUGUCAGAGAUACAGACAAUAAGAAAAGACACACUAUUAAGUAUGGGUCUGUACCAAUUGAAGGUUAUAUCAUUGAAACACCAAAAGAGCUGAUUGACGACGAACACCCAUUGAUUUGCAAGCCCUAUCUCUACCGGGACGAAAUAAUAUCUGCCUAUUCGGAGGAAGGAGGUAUAGUUGGGAGUACCUCUUAUGAUAUAAAAAAAGAUGAGUAGGAACAAUAAGUAUCCAAGAUUCCCAGAAGUAAG
Molecule: unclassified non-coding RNA, 961 nt
Filed under: Hevea brasiliensis (rubber tree)
Lineage: Eukaryota; Viridiplantae; Streptophyta; Magnoliopsida; Malpighiales; Euphorbiaceae
Source: RNAcentral